CAUUCAUGAUGAACGGGGGCGCGGCGUUUACAGCAACGGGUGCGUAACGCGUAAGCAACCUGCCCGCAACUGGGGGAUAGCCCGGCGAAAGCUGGGGUAAACCCGCACGGUCCAGUGGUCUCACCUGGGGUUACUGGUAAACAUUUAUGGGUUGCGGAGGGGCUUGCGUCUGAUUAGCUAGUUGGCGGGGUAAGGGCCCACCAAGGCGAUGAUCAGUAGGGGUUCUGAGAGGAUUGGCCCCCACAUGGGUACUGAGAUACGGACCCAACUCCUACGGGAGGCAGCAGUAGGGAAUAUUGGGCAAUGGGCGAGAGCCUGACCCAGCCAUGCCGCGUGCCGGAUGAAGGCGCUCAGCGUUGUAAACGGCUUUUGACUGGGAAGAACGGCAGGUUUGCGAACUUGUGUGACGGUACCAGCAGAAUAAGCACCGGCUAACUCCGUGCCAGCAGCCGCGGUAAU
This 459-nucleotide ribosomal RNA is filed under the name uncultured bacterium. Its description in RNAcentral is "bacterial SSU rRNA". It matches the Rfam family "Bacterial small subunit ribosomal RNA", at positions 77 to 524 of the family's 1533-position model. The record is from RNAcentral.